AGCUUUAUAUUCAAGUAUGAUAUAAAAUUGCAAAUUUUAGGGUAUAAUUUAAUAGUUAUUAAGGCUU
RNAcentral lists this transfer RNA (67 nucleotides) under Marasmia exigua. RNAcentral describes it as "Cnaphalocrocis exigua tRNA-Cys". Lineage: Eukaryota; Metazoa; Arthropoda; Insecta; Lepidoptera; Crambidae. The record is from RNAcentral.